CAUAGAACAGCUAGACCUCACCGAUAGGCCUAAAGAAGGCUUAAACCAUCGUCUGGGUUGUGGUAUGCCUAAUGUCUACUCACAGUGCUUUUCAUAAACAAUUGCUUUUUGAUGAUUUACUAAAUGCCAAUUGUAUUUGUUGUGGGGCUGUGGGAGGCAGUCCCAAAAUGCUCUCUACUGAUUGUUUAACUAAGUUAUAAUCUAAAAAAUAUAGUUCAAAACAGAGCAAAUUUCUUCACAGCAAUACAAAAG
Pelobates cultripes (western spadefoot toad) is the source of this 252-nucleotide non-coding RNA. NCBI's taxonomy places the organism in Eukaryota, Metazoa, Chordata, Amphibia, Anura, Pelobatidae. The record is from the annotation of a GenBank genome assembly.